UUUGUACUCCCUCCGUCCCAAAAUUCUUGUCUUAAAUUUUUCUAAAUAUGGAUGUAUCUGGUUACAUUUUAGUGUUAGAUACAUCCGUAUCUAAACAAACGUAAGACAAGAAUUUUGGGACGGAGGGAAUACUAC
Molecule: non-coding RNA, 135 nt
Organism: Triticum aestivum (bread wheat)
Lineage: Eukaryota; Viridiplantae; Streptophyta; Magnoliopsida; Poales; Poaceae
Source: Rfam